RNAcentral lists this ribosomal RNA (253 nucleotides) under uncultured bacterium. RNAcentral describes it as "partial 16S ribosomal RNA". It matches the Rfam family "Bacterial small subunit ribosomal RNA", at positions 524 to 776 of the family's 1533-position model. The record is from RNAcentral.
GACAUAGGUGGCGAACGUUAUCCGGAAUUAUUGGGCGUAAAGGAUGCGUAGAUGGUAUAGUAAGUUAUCGGUGGUAAAUCGAGGCUCAACCUCGUGGAAGUCGGUAAUACUGCUAUACUAGAGGAUAGGAGAAGUUAACGGAACUUCCUGUGGAGCGGUGAAAUGCGUAGAUAUCGGGAGGAACACCUGUGGCGAAAGCGGCGCACUGGACCACAACUGACGCUGAGGCGCGAAAGCUAGGGGAGCAAACAGG